GAGUUUGAUCAUGGCUCAGAUUGAACGCUGGCGGCAGGCCUAACACAUGCAAGUCGAGCGGUAGAGAGAAGCUUGCUUCUCUUGAGAGCGGCGGACGGGUGAGUAAUGCCUAGGAAUCUGCCUGGUAGUGGGGGAUAACGCUCGGAAACGGACGCCAAUCCCGCAUACGUCCUACGGGAGAAAGCAGGGGACCUUCGGGCCUUGCGCUAUCAGAUGAGCCUAGGUCGGAUUAGCUAGUUGGUGAGGUAAUGGCUCACCAAGGCGACGAUCCGUAACUGGUCUGAGAGGAUGAUCAGUCACACUGGAACUGAGACACGGUCCAGACUCCUACGGGAGGCAGCAGUGGGGAAUAUUGGACAAUGGGCGAAAGCCUGAUCCAGCCAUGCCGCGUGUGUGAAGAAGGUCUUCGGAUUGUAAAGCACUUUAAGUUGGGAGGAAGGGCAGUAAAUUAAUACUUUGCUGUUUUGACGUUACCGACAGAAUAAGCACCGGCUAACUCUGUGCCAG
Molecule: ribosomal RNA, 507 nt
Filed under: uncultured bacterium
Lineage: Bacteria
Description: bacterial SSU rRNA
Rfam family: Bacterial small subunit ribosomal RNA
Source: RNAcentral